Molecule: long non-coding RNA, 1230 nt
Organism: Brassica oleracea var. oleracea
Lineage: Eukaryota; Viridiplantae; Streptophyta; Magnoliopsida; Brassicales; Brassicaceae
Exons: 4
Source: RefSeq, a predicted model, not a curated record
GUGUAGAUGAGACGCUGCGUUUUCAUUUAGUGUUCUUCUUUGGCUCUCCAGAGCUCAUGGCGAUUAGGGUUUCGCUCGCGGUCUUUCAUCUUCUUCCUCACAGUACCAGAGGAAACCAGUUGCCGAAUAAUCCUCUUUAAACCUUCCAUUAAUAUAUCACCCAUGAUCUACACUGAAUGCGAAUUCUGAUUUUGAAGGGUAGUGGAUCUUCACGUAUAAAAAGAGAAGACUUCACCAUGCCUCAGUCAAUAGAAACUUCUAUUCUUUGAUUCCAUGGCUCAGUCAUCUAUCAUGCUCGCUGAUUUGAAGGCCCGCCCGCGUUCUUCCAUUCUGAGGUUUGGGGAAGCAAGAAACGUGAAAAGACGUGGGAGAUGAUGGACCUAGAUAUGUUCAUCCUUGACGCUCAGGCAACCUUCACACCAGCCACCGUCAGCGUCCACCGUCUCACACUUACCGGCAUCUUUUUAAGGCGGGCUCAAUGUACUCCUUAGGCGGUUUUGAUGUGACUGGCUGCAAUCAGAAUUACAGGCUCUUUGACUCACCUCGGCUGUUUCGGUUUAGUGAUUCAACCGAAUUUGAAGAGCUCAUGGGAGUGGAUAUGCUCUUACUGGAUUCACAGAGCGAGAUGGAGCAAGCGGCGGAGAGCGACGAAGCACUCGGUGGCGAGGAACGGAAAAAGUAGCGGAGAGCGACGGAAAAAGUAGCGGAGAGAGACGGAACUAGCGGUCUCGAGCUGAUGGAACAAGUGACGGAGAGUGUGACGGGAGAUAGGAAAGGCAAAUGGCGCAGUGGAGGUUGAUAGGCUCUCAGACAGGAGGGAUAAAAGUAGCUGUGGAGGAGUCUAACAUGACUACAUAUCUUCUUAUGAGGCUGUUGCUCAAUAUCGAUGGCCUCAAAACAGCAGGGAAAGCUAGAGUAUAAUGAUAAUGCAGAGGUUAGUGUUUCAUCUCCGGCUUUUUUCAUCUGUCUGCAUCAUAAUCUAUGUUUUCACGAUAAUAAUGUCACCAACAGUGGUGAACGAUAUGCAUCAGGUACUUAUUACUAAUGAGUUAUGAGACUUUCAGAUGAGUUGCAGUGAUAUGAUUGGUUACUUUGGUAGAUAUACAUUGCGAUUUUCUUUUCCAUAGCAAAUAAGAGUUUUCCAGGUCACAGGGCAGGCAACAACAAAAGUUAAUGCGUGUAAAAGAAGGAACAUGUAAUGGAUCGAUCAAGAUAUUAUUCAUUUUUUAA